UUGUGGAGGAGGACGCCGAAGGUGGGGCUAAUGACUGGGGUGAAGUCGUAACAAGGUAGCCGUACCGGAAGGUGCGGCUGGAUCACCUCCUAACAGGGAGACAACAAAAUGUUAAAUAUUAAUUUUGUCACCUUAGGUCGAUCGGUACCUCAAAUUCUUAAUUUAUUAAGGAUUUUAUUUCCUAAGUUUUUUCUAGGUCACACCCAUUAUUUUCCCUGGGCCAUUAGCUCAGGUGGUUAGAGCGCACCCCUGAUAAGGGUGAGGUCCCUGGUUCAAGUCCAGGAUGGCCCAUAUCUCUAUGUUGGGGGUAUAGCUCAGUUGGUAGAGCGCCUGCUUUGCAAGCAGGAUGUCAGCGGUUCGAGUCCGCUUACCUCCACUGAUCACCACCUCUUCCAUAUUUCAUAGAAGGGAAAUGUUUUGAGAUGUGAUCAAAAUCUGAACGAAUCUAGCUUCCUAAUAGAACUUAUUAAGAUGCUGGACUCAUUGAAUUAAAUUCAUUGUUUUCAGAGAACCUUGACAACUGCAUAGAUUAUUUUUAAAGACAAUAAGCAUCUUUAAUGAUGCAGAUUUAUUAUUUGUGCGAAUGCAUUAAUAACAAUUCUAUUGAGCUGAUGCUUCAAUUUUUUUGAAGUUAUUGGUCAAGCUACAA
RNAcentral lists this unclassified non-coding RNA (649 nucleotides) under uncultured Prochlorococcus sp. Its description in RNAcentral is "partial 16S-23S ribosomal RNA intergenic spacer; may also contain 16S ribosomal RNA and 23S ribosomal RNA". The stretch from base 304 to 376 matches the Rfam family "tRNA". Lineage: Bacteria; Bacillati; Cyanobacteriota; Cyanophyceae; Synechococcales; Prochlorococcaceae. The record is from RNAcentral.